Molecule: transfer RNA, 71 nt
Filed under: Floricoccus penangensis
Lineage: Bacteria; Bacillati; Bacillota; Bacilli; Lactobacillales; Streptococcaceae
Description: tRNA-Cys
Rfam family: tRNA
About the family: Transfer RNA (tRNA) molecules are approximately 80 nucleotides in length. Their secondary structure includes four short double-helical elements and three loops (D, anti-codon, and T loops). Further hydrogen bonds mediate the characteristic L-shaped molecular structure. tRNAs have two regions of fundamental functional importance: the anti-codon, which is responsible for specific mRNA codon recognition, and the 3' end, to which the tRNAs corresponding amino acid is attached (by aminoacyl-tRNA synthetases). tRNAs cope with the degeneracy of the genetic code in two manners: having more than one tRNA (with a specific anti-codon) for a particular amino acid; and 'wobble' base-pairing, i.e. permitting non-standard base-pairing at the 3rd anti-codon position.
Source: RNAcentral
GUUCCUAUAGCCAAGAGGUAAGGCAUGGCUCUGCAAAAGCUUGACCGUCGGUUCGAAUCCGACUAGGAACU